Molecule: long non-coding RNA, 455 nt
Filed under: Chinchilla lanigera (long-tailed chinchilla)
Lineage: Eukaryota; Metazoa; Chordata; Mammalia; Rodentia; Chinchillidae
Description: lncRNA (ENSCLAG00000023739.1)
Source: RNAcentral
GCUCCCCGCGGCCGCCGCCCCGCCAACCGCCGCUCGCGCGGGCUGGAACCAGGCAGCGGUGUACCUACAGGGAACCGUCCACCGCCGCGCUCCACAGCCUCCGCGCGCCGCGAGCGGAGCGCAGAAAGACCUUCCCGCGGCUCCGGCCGAGGAACCUCCCCGGCCCCGGCUGGUGGGAUAUGCUUGGCACCGACCCAGAGUUUUAAGGUAACUACUGGAGUAACACAGGACUGACCUAGCUGCCUGGGAACAAUAGCCAUUACACAUUCCUAGUCCUGGAAACUUCUGAGGUAACCUUGGGACAAAGGUUCUUAGUUUGAACCCCACACCUGGUUAAGGUCCUGUUAGAACUCAAGGGAUGGCCCCAGCGCACGGGGAGCCUCGGGCGGGGAGCGCUGGUCUUUGGACCAGCGGCUCACUCCCGGCCUCGUCGUUCCCUGGAAGGAGGGCUUCCG